AAAAAUAGCAUUUAAAUUAAUUGAAUAAUUAAUAAUGAAAAUAAAAAAUAUCUCUUCUUUUUUGGAGGCUCUAACGGUAAGAAAAAGGAGGGGAAGAGAAAAAGGACUGACACUGAUACAUUUCCAUUCACCCACUCAAGAUUAACAUACUUUCUCUGUAAAAAGAAAAAGAAAGAAAAGAAAGAAGAAGAGAAAACAGAAACAAAAAAGAGAGAAACUAAUAUCUCUCUUCACCUCACCUCACGCCUCUCAUCAUCUUUCUCCAUUGUCGCUCAUCCUCCGUUCACCACAAAUCACACCUUUGACCUCCUUCUCUAAGCGCAAUCCACGACCGGCAGCCGCCGGAAACUCUUCGCCACUCCAUCGUCG
Molecule: long non-coding RNA, 369 nt
Filed under: Lathyrus oleraceus (garden pea)
Lineage: Eukaryota; Viridiplantae; Streptophyta; Magnoliopsida; Fabales; Fabaceae
Description: Pisum sativum (pea) long non-coding RNA (PSAT_LNC030466)
Source: RNAcentral